AAAAUGCGAAAAGUAUUGUGACAUGCAAUCCUUGAGAAUCAACGAAUCUUUGAACGCACCUUGCACCGGGACGCGCGAGCGGGCCGGUAUACUUGUUUGAGCAUCGCGACAGCGUGGGCCGCACUGCCUCUGGGCGUGUGGGCCGAGUGAGCCGACGGGGUGAGAGCGCCGUGGCUUGAAAGCGAGACAGCAGCGAGCGACGCGGCAUGGGAUAGCAUCUUGCAUGCGGCGGCGCCAGCAGCGGACCUAGACUAGUGGGUGAGUGAUUAGUGAGUGAGCAUAUGUAUAUCAUGUGUUCACACACUCGACACUGACCCACUAGCGUGAUACAUGACAGGGAUCUCAAAUCAAGUAGGAAGACCCGCCGAACUUAA
This 374-nucleotide unclassified non-coding RNA is filed under the name uncultured fungus. Its description in RNAcentral is "sequence contains ITS1". The stretch from base 1 to 106 matches the Rfam family "5.8S ribosomal RNA", at positions 50 to 154 of the family's 154-position model. Lineage: Eukaryota; Fungi. The record is from RNAcentral.